CUGGUUCUUUGAAACUAAGAAUAAACACAAAACUUUGUUAGAAUUUAUUAAAGAAGCAAAAAGAUUUUAAAAUCCUUAUAAUGGAUUGUAAAGAAUAGUAUUUAAAUUACAUUUCAAAUUCUUAGCUAAGUAACAAGAGAAUCACUGGGACUUUGCAACUCUUCAUAAUUUUCUCACAAAAUCAGAGCAAUUGAGAUGGCUCAGUACUUUCAAGGAAAUGCUGGAACAAUGUAUUAGGCGAACUGCUUUUUUUCCUUUUUUUUUGGUCUUUUGCUAUUUUAUAGUUUGCUUAAGAAACUUAAGAACAAGUGACUGGGGCCGGGCGCAGUGGCUCACCCCUGUAAUCCCAGCACUUUGGGAGGCCGAGGGGGGUGGAUCACGAGGUCAGGAGAUCAAAACCAUCCUGGCUAACACGGUGAAACCCUGUAUCUACUAAAAAUACAAAAAAUUAGCCAGGUGUGGUGGCGGGUGCCUGUAGUCCCAGCUACUCGGGAGGCUGAGGCAGGAGAAUGGCGUGAACCCGGGAGGCGGAGCUUGCAGUGAGCCGAGACCGCGCCACUGCACUCCAGCCUGGGCGACAGAGCGAGACUCCAUCUCAAAAAACGCGUACAGCAAAAAAGGGUGCCGUUACAUAGGUCAUUGGAUGCUAUCACUGGAAUGUCUGUUGAGAAAUAAACGUUUUACCAUCUGUAGACACAUGAGGGCGCUUUAAGCAGGCAGCGUGGGAUGCAGCGUGCAAAGGGAGGGAGGGAGGAAGAAAGCUUUGUCAAAGGUAGCCUGAAAUUCAGGCAUCUCCCUAUCUGGUUGCGGACCUGUGCCUGCGUCGGGGUGGGGAGCACCGAAUCGAUUUAGGAAAAGAACUGCGCAGGCCCUUGAUCCCCACUUCUCAUGGUGAAAUCAAGUUUGAGGUUCAAAUCAAGGCUUUCAGAGAGUCAGAAUUUCCAAAUCUGUUACUUUGUCAAAAAACUGCUUUUAAUCUGGUAACGUUUCCCAUUAACCUCAUUUGAUGUCCUUCCCUAAGAAUGUUUAAUUAGAAUCUCCUUUUCUGAUGCCAGCAGAAUUGAACUGCUUGUGAACUGAGCUUUAAAUUGGACAUGUUGUGUUUCUAGUCCUCCACUGAGGGUGAAUUUUGCAGCAAUUUGCGUUUAACUUUCUGUGUCUUGCUGCAUUAAGCACUUCUAGAAUAGGAUCAACAGGACAGAGCUGGAGUAUGCAGAGAUUCUCAAAAGAAAUGUAAAUUUGGAAUGUAAUUGGGAACCCAACAGGGAGGUGUGGAUUUCACGGAUGAAGUCUUGGUGGAAGAUCUAAGUGCCACAAUGUGAGUUUGAAGUUAUUCCAUCUUCAUAAGGAUUAAACUAUUUUAACCUCUACUAGGCAAAUGUUUAAGAGAAUAAUCUGACUACUGUGCAUUAAGUAGAGAGAUUAGAGUUUAAAACACUUUAAAUGAAUGGCAGAAUAGGACUCAGUUCUCUAGGAUCACACCAAUAGUUCCACCAGACAGAUGAAGAUAUGUAAUACAGUGUUUAAGCGGCCUGACAUUGGCACUAAAAUAUUGAAAUUACUGUUUCAAAAAUGCAAACUAAUAAAUGCUUACAUGCCCAGGGUCUAUAAGAAAGGCAAAAACCAGCCAGGCGAGGUCAAGAGUGGUUGGGUUCAACUCUGACAAAGGCAGGUGAACUCCUGACCUGGCAAAUUCAUUUUUUUCCCUGUUCCAAGAAUUACUUGACUCAUCUUUAAAGCGGUCACAUUUACACUGACAUUUUUCAGUGGUGAGCAAAAUCUUGCUACAUAAAAAACUGUGCAAAAUCCUUCCGUCUUGUAAUAUAUGAAUUCAGGGCCUCAGAUGGGGUAAACAGGGCCUACAGUGCCGAACAUUUAUCUUUCUUAUUUGAACGAACAACUCUUCCUUCCUUCCUGGAAUGUGACUUAACGUUAAGAAUUUCUAUUAAAUCUCUGGGUACACCCAGAGACCUCAGAAAGCUCUCUACAGAGAGAGCAAACAUCCUCCUGUACUUGGCAAAAGAAGAAACAGAUGCUUGCGUGGCUUGCAGGCUCAGCUGCUCAGGGCCGCUCUGUGGAAGAGAACCAGUGAACCUGGGUUGCCAGAAAAAAUGUUAAUGUUGAGUUGAGAAUAAGCAUUUGCACUUGUGAGUAGUCAACAGAUAUGUAGGACAUGUGAGUGCAACGGAAGCGGCACCCAAACUGGACUGCCCUGUAGUCAAAGUUAGGGGAACUGGGGCUAUUUUGGGUUUGGGCCAUUGGGUAUCCAUUUUCCCUUUCUGAGAAGUACCCCUUCUCCAUCUAGCUCAGGAACUCUGGGAAGAUGGCCACACCCAGGCUCCAGGGGUGGGCUCUAAUUAGUCUAUGCAAAUUAGUUCAUCCCAUUCACUUCUCUCCCCCCUUUCAUGAUUGGUUUAAGAGACAGGCCUACCAGCAAUGGUAUGCAAGACCUUUGCUGGGAUUUCUGAGAAAGACACUUGCUCUGUGUAGAAGCUACUAGGAUAACUUCUCUCCUCUGGACAGUGUGGAAAAUAGACUUGAGUCUUAAGAGCAUGGUGGCCCUUUGCCACAAUUCUGAAUGCAAUGUCAACCCAAGGAGGAAAGGAGAGCUAAGAUAAUUAAGAGAUGGGAGCUGGCCGGGUACGGUGGCUCAUGCCUGUAAUUCCGGCAGUUUCGGAGGCCAAAGCAGGUGGAUCACCUGAGGUCAGGGGUUUGAGACCAGCCUGGACAACAUGGUGAAAUCCUGUCUGUACUAAUAAUAUAAAAAUUAGCAGGGCGUGGUGGCACAUGCCUGUAAUCCCAGCUACUCGGAAGGCCGGGCAGGAGAAUGGCUUGAACCCAGGAGGCGGAGGUUGCAGUGAGCCGAGAUCAUGCCAUUGCACUCCACCUGGGUGACAAAGCAAGACUGUCUCAAAAAAAGAAAAAGAAAAAAGAAAAAAAAAAAAGAGAUGGGAGCUGAAAUCCUGAUCAAAUUGGACCAACUGGACUUUUCACUCACUGAACCAAUAAAUUCUUAUUGUUGAAGCUAGGCUCAGCUGAGGUUUGUAGUACUUGCAACCAAUGUUUCCAACUGCCCAACUGCCACAUGGUGUGUCUAAGAUGAUCAGGGUGCAUAUCCAUCUAUUUGUGUAAUCUAAUUGAAAGGGCAUAUAUAUAUUUUCCUGAAAGAGUACUUGUCUCAACAGAAACAGUAUUUAUUGUACACAGCUUUGCACCACAACCUCUAGUCUCUAAAGUUUUUUUUGAAAGCACUAAACAGUACAUUCAAUAACUAGGUGGGUAUCAAUAAAAGAAACUAGCCAGGUGUCAAAUGCAGCAUAUUUUAAUUUGUUUCAAAUAAAGCAAUAUAUGUAUAUAUAUUUUUUCAGAAAAACACC
This 3377-nucleotide long non-coding RNA is filed under the name Homo sapiens (human). RNAcentral describes it as "HSALNT0045738". Lineage: Eukaryota; Metazoa; Chordata; Mammalia; Primates; Hominidae. The record is from RNAcentral.